Molecule: microRNA precursor, 103 nt
Filed under: Marmota monax (woodchuck)
Lineage: Eukaryota; Metazoa; Chordata; Mammalia; Rodentia; Sciuridae
Source: RNAcentral
AGUGGAACAACUGGGUCAAAUGGUAGUUCCAUUCCUAGAUUUUUGAGAAAUCUGCAUACUGCUUUCCAGAGUGGUUGCACCAAUUUUCAGUCCCACCAGCAAU